AAACUCAAAGGAAUUGACGGGGGCCCGCACAAGCGGCGGAGCAUGUGGAUUAAUUCGAUGCAACGCGAAGAACCUUACCUGGGUUUGACAUGCACAGGAUCGCCUCAGAGAUGGGGUUUCCCUUGUGGUCUGUGUACAGGUGGUGCAUGGCUGUCGUCAGCUCGUGUCGUGAGAUGUUGGGUUAAGUCCCGCAACGAGCGCAACCCUUGUCCUACGUUGCCAGCGGGUUAUGCCGGGGACUCGUGGGAGACUGCCGGGGUCAACUCGGAGGAAG
RNAcentral lists this ribosomal RNA (274 nucleotides) under uncultured bacterium. Its description in RNAcentral is "partial 16S ribosomal RNA". It matches the Rfam family "Bacterial small subunit ribosomal RNA", at positions 897 to 1172 of the family's 1533-position model. The record is from RNAcentral.